RNAcentral lists this ribosomal RNA (465 nucleotides) under Vreelandella stevensii. RNAcentral's name for it is "partial 16S ribosomal RNA". It matches the Rfam family "Bacterial small subunit ribosomal RNA", at positions 338 to 795 of the family's 1533-position model. The record is from RNAcentral. Lineage: Bacteria; Pseudomonadati; Pseudomonadota; Gammaproteobacteria; Oceanospirillales; Halomonadaceae.
CCUACGGGGGGCAGCAGUGGGGAAUAUUGGACAAUGGGGGGAACCCUGAUCCAGCCAUGCCGCGUGUGUGAAGAAGGCCCUCGGGUUGUAAAGCACUUUCAGUGAGGAAGAACGCCUGGUGGUUAAUACCCAUCAGGAAAGACAUCACUCACAGAAGAAGCACCGGCUAACUCCGUGCCAGCAGCCGCGGUAAUACGGAGGGUGCGAGCGUUAAUCGGAAUUACUGGGCGUAAAGCGCGCGUAGGUGGCUUGAUAAGCCGGUUGUGAAAGCCCCGGGCUCAACCUGGGAACGGCAUCCGGAACUGUCAAGCUAGAGUGCAGGAGAGGAAGGUAGAAUUCCCGGUGUAGCGGUGAAAUGCGUAGAGAUCGGAAGGAAUACCAGUGGCGAAGGCGGCCUUCUGGACUGACACUGACACUGAGGUGCGAAAGCGUGGGUAGCAAACAGGAUUAGAUACCCUAGUAGUC